This is a non-coding RNA of Triticum aestivum (bread wheat), 115 nucleotides long. NCBI's taxonomy places the organism in Eukaryota, Viridiplantae, Streptophyta, Magnoliopsida, Poales, Poaceae. The record is from Rfam.
AUAGUACUCCCUCCGUUCAGAAUUACUUGUCUCGAAAAUGGAUGUAUCUAAAUCUAAAAUACAUCUAGAUACAUCCAUUUCUGUGACGAGUAAUUCCGAGCGGAGGGAGUAGAUU